RNAcentral lists this ribosomal RNA (402 nucleotides) under uncultured bacterium. RNAcentral describes it as "bacterial SSU rRNA". It matches the Rfam family "Bacterial small subunit ribosomal RNA", at positions 355 to 774 of the family's 1533-position model. The record is from RNAcentral.
UGGGGAAUAUUGCACAAUGGGGGAAACCCUGAUGCAGCGACGCCGCGUGAGCGAAGAAGUAUUUCGGUAUGUAAAGCUCUAUCAGCAGGGAAGAUAAUGACGGUACCUGACUAAGAAGCUCCGGCUAAAUACGUGCCAGCAGCCGCGGUAAUACGUAUGGAGCAAGCGUUAUCCGGAUUUACUGGGUGUAAAGGGAGCGUAGACGGUUGUGCAAGUCUGAUGUGAAAUUCCAGGGCUUAACCCUGGACCUGCAUUGGAAACUGUAUAACUAGAGUGUCGGAGAGGUGAGUGGAAUUCCUAGUGUAGCGGUGAAAUGCGUAGAUAUUAGGAGGAACACCAGUGGCGAAGGCGGCUCACUGGACGAUAACUGACGUUGAGGCUCGAAAGCGUGGGGAGCAAACA